GCCAGGUGUGGUGAUGCGUGCCUGUAGUCCCAGCUACUCAGGAGGCUGAGAUGGGAGGAUCAUUUGGGCCCAGGAGUUCAAGGCUGCAGUGAGCUGUGAUCACACCACUGCACUCCAGCCUGGGCAACAAAGCAAGACCCUAUCUCAA
This 148-nucleotide non-coding RNA is filed under the name Chlorocebus sabaeus (green monkey). Lineage: Eukaryota; Metazoa; Chordata; Mammalia; Primates; Cercopithecidae. The record is from Rfam by way of RNAcentral.